This 373-nucleotide ribosomal RNA is filed under the name uncultured bacterium. RNAcentral describes it as "bacterial SSU rRNA". It matches the Rfam family "Bacterial small subunit ribosomal RNA", at positions 524 to 898 of the family's 1533-position model. The record is from RNAcentral.
UACGGAGGAUGCGAGCGUUAUCCGGAUUUAUUGGGUUUAAAGGGUGCGUAGGCGGGAUGAUAAGUCAGUGGUGAAAACCUGCAGCUUAACUGUAGACUUGCCGUUGAUACUGUUGUUCUUGAGUAUGGUCAAGGCAGGCGGAAUGUGUAAUGUAGCGGUGAAAUGCUUAGAUAUUACACAGAACACCGAUAGCGAAGGCAGCUUGCUGGGCCUGUACUGACGCUGAUGCACGAAAGCGUGGGGAUCGAACAGGAUUAGAUACCCUGGUAGUCCACGCCGUAAACGAUGAUCACUAGCUGUUGGCGAUAUACCGAUCGGCGGCAAAGCAAAAGCAUUAAGUGAUCCACCUGGGGAGUACGGCCGCAAGGCUGAA